GUGUCAGCCGCCGCGGUAAUACGGAGGAUCCAGGCGUUAUCCGGAUUUAUUGGGUUUAAAGGGUGCGCAGGCGGGGAAUUAGGUCGGCGGUGAAAUUUCGGGGCUCAACCUCGAUAGUGCCGUUGAAACCGUUUCUCUUGAGUGCGGAUGAGGUAGGCGGAAUUUGUGGUGUAGCGGUGAAAUGCGUAGAUAUCACAAGGAACACCGAUUGCGGAGGCAGCUUACUAAACCGUUACUGACGCUCAUGCACGAAGGCGUGGGGAUCAAACAGGAUUAGAUACCCUGGUAGUCCACGCAGUAAACGAUGAUUACUUGCUGUUUGCGAUACACAGUAAGCGGCGAAGCGAAAGCGUUAAGUAAUCCACCUGGGGAGUACGUUCGCAAGAAUGAAACUCAAAUAAAUUGACGG
RNAcentral lists this ribosomal RNA (409 nucleotides) under uncultured bacterium. RNAcentral's name for it is "bacterial SSU rRNA". It matches the Rfam family "Bacterial small subunit ribosomal RNA", at positions 505 to 916 of the family's 1533-position model. The record is from RNAcentral.